Molecule: ribosomal RNA, 459 nt
Filed under: Streptococcus mutans
Lineage: Bacteria; Bacillati; Bacillota; Bacilli; Lactobacillales; Streptococcaceae
Description: bacterial SSU rRNA
Rfam family: Bacterial small subunit ribosomal RNA
Source: RNAcentral
GACGAACGCUGGCGGCGUGCCUAAUACAUGCAAGUGGGACGCAAGGAAACACACUGUGCUUGCACACCGUGUUUUCUUGAGUCGCGAACGGGUGAGUAACGCGUAGGUAACCUGCCUAUUAGCGGGGGAUAACUAUUGGAAACGAUAGCUAAUACCGCAUAAUAUUAAUUAUUGCAUGAUAAUUGAUUGAAAGAUGCAAGCGCAUCACUAGUAGAUGGACCUGCGUUGUAUUAGCUAGUUGGUAAGGUAAGAGCUUACCAAGGCGACGAUACAUAGCCGACCUGAGAGGGUGAUCGGCCACACUGGGACUGAGACACGGCCCAGACCUCUACGGGAGGCAGCAGUAGGGAAUCUUCGGCAAUGGACGAAAGUCUGACCGAGCAACGCCGCGUGAGUGAAGAAGGUUUUCGGAUCGUAAAGCUCUGUUGUAAGUCAAGAACGUGUGUGAGAGUGGAAACG